RNAcentral lists this transfer RNA (69 nucleotides) under Ovis aries (sheep). It matches the Rfam family "tRNA". Rfam says of the family: Transfer RNA (tRNA) molecules are approximately 80 nucleotides in length. Their secondary structure includes four short double-helical elements and three loops (D, anti-codon, and T loops). The record is from Rfam by way of RNAcentral. Lineage: Eukaryota; Metazoa; Chordata; Mammalia; Artiodactyla; Bovidae.
CCUGGUGGCUAAGAUGGUAAAGUAUCUGUUUACAAUGCAGGAGACCUGGGUUCGAUCCCUAGGUCAGGA